GAUGAAGAACGUAGCGAAAUGCGAUAAGUAAUGUGAAUUGCAGAAUUCAGUGAAUCAUCGAAUCUUUGAACGCACAUUGCGCCCGCCAGUAUUCUGGCGGGCAUGCCUGUUCGAGCGUCAUUUCAACCAUCAAGCCCCAGGCUUGUGUUGGGGACCUGCAGCUGCCGCAGGCCCUGAAAACCAGUGGCGGGCUCGCUGUCACACCGGGCGUAGUAGAUUUUAUCUCGCUCAGGGCGUGCUGCGGGUUCCGGCCGUUAAAAAGCCUUUUUUACCCAAGGUUGACCUCGGAUCAGGUAGGAAGACCCGCUGAACUUAAGCAUAUCAAUAAGCGGAGGA
This 336-nucleotide unclassified non-coding RNA is filed under the name soil metagenome. Its description in RNAcentral is "partial contains 5.8S ribosomal RNA, internal transcribed spacer 2, and large subunit ribosomal RNA". The stretch from base 1 to 120 matches the Rfam family "5.8S ribosomal RNA", at positions 35 to 154 of the family's 154-position model. The record is from RNAcentral.